GCCACCUCCCCCUUAAUCUCUUUGUCCCCUCGUUUCCUUUUUCUGGCAAAACGCCACCACAAUCCGCCUCUAUCUUUUCCGUUCUCCUCCCCAUCUCCGACCGACGACCCUCUCUCUCCCCCACUCUUACCGGCGUGAUCCAGCAGAUGUUGGUAGCCAUUGUUUCUCCCUCUUUCCCUCCCUCUUCUCCUGUCCUUUUCGACCCUCUUUUCCUCUUCCCUCGAUCCCUUUCUCUUUCCCCCCUCCUCACUUCCCCUCUCUCUUUCUGACGACCUUCUUUCCUCCCCCUCUCCCAUAUCCCUCGUUCUUUUCUCUUUUCUAGCAGGGACAACAGUAGGCGAGAAGCUGAUGAGGAAACCGCCAG
Molecule: unclassified non-coding RNA, 364 nt
Filed under: Hevea brasiliensis (rubber tree)
Lineage: Eukaryota; Viridiplantae; Streptophyta; Magnoliopsida; Malpighiales; Euphorbiaceae
Source: RNAcentral